Molecule: long non-coding RNA, 667 nt
Filed under: Anas platyrhynchos platyrhynchos (common mallard)
Lineage: Eukaryota; Metazoa; Chordata; Aves; Anseriformes; Anatidae
Description: lncRNA (ENSAPLG00000024254.1)
Source: RNAcentral
CAGUACCAUCUAACUGUUUAGUAAAAGGUGUUGAAUACAAGUCUUGAAAGCUCACUUCUCAGAUCUACUAAUUGCAGCCUAGCUAUUGUAGUUUUGUAGAUGUUGGGCUGAAUGAAAUAGGCCAUAUGGAGUGAUGGCAUCUAUACAAAGUCAUUUGCAUAUAGUAAAGGCAAGCAAACACUGAGUAUUUACAGAGAAGACAUUAGGAAGUAAAAUUAUCCUACCACUGUAAAUUCCCUCAGUCCAAGCCUAUAGAGCAGAAGUAACUCUGCACUUUUGAAAGUUAAAUAAAAUUGUAUAGCAAAUGACUUUUUUGCACCUGUUGUUCUUAGAAACAGAAAACAGAAGUGCCUGCUCUUUCCUAAUCACCAUCUGACUUGCCAUAUUUCCUCCUUCCUCUGGUUUGUAUUCUUCCUUAACAGAAAGGAAAGCAUAUGUUCUGUUUAAAAUAAUAGUCUGUUAACCCUUGCUAAUGCAAAGGAGGAGAGCACCCUCUCUCACCCUCUGUGGUUUUCUCACAGUUCUUGGCUUCUGUCAAGGUGAAAUAAUCGCGAACAAAAUGGGAUGUCUGGUACAAGGAAUUUUUGACUUACAGGUGAAGACAGUAAAUACUGCAAUAAAUAGCUUAUAGCACUACUUACUCUCAUUUUAUAACACUGAUUUUUUA